UGGAGCGUGUGGUUUAAUUCGAUGCAACGCGAAGAACCUUACCAGGGCUUGACAUGCAGUUGCUAAUCCCGGGAAACCGGGACUCCUUCGAGGGUACUGCACAGGUGCUGCAUGGCUGUCGUCAGCUCGUGUCGUGAGAUGUUGGGUUAAGUCCCGCAACGAGCGCAACCCUUGUUGUUAGUUGCCAGCACGAAAGGUGGGCUCUCUAACAAGACUGCCGGUGUUAAACCGGAGGAAGGUGGGGAUGACGUCAAGUCAGCAUGGCCUUUAUAUCUUGGGCA
RNAcentral lists this ribosomal RNA (281 nucleotides) under uncultured bacterium. RNAcentral's name for it is "partial 16S ribosomal RNA". It matches the Rfam family "Bacterial small subunit ribosomal RNA", at positions 933 to 1215 of the family's 1533-position model. The record is from RNAcentral.